Molecule: ribosomal RNA, 513 nt
Filed under: uncultured bacterium
Lineage: Bacteria
Description: partial 16S ribosomal RNA
Rfam family: Bacterial small subunit ribosomal RNA
Source: RNAcentral
GACGAACGCUGGCGGCAUGCCUAAUACAUGCAAGUCGAGCGAACAGAUGAAGUGCUUGCACUUCUGACGUUAGCGGCGAACGGGUGAGUAACACGUAAGGAAUCUACCUAUAAGCGGGGGAUAACAUUCGGAAACGGGUGCUAAUACCGCAUAAUAUCUUCUUCCGCAAGGAAGAAGAUUGAAAGACGGCUCUGCUGUCACUUAUAGAUGACCUUGCGGUGCAUUAGUUAGUUGGUGGGGUAAUGGCCUACCAAGACAAUGAUGCAUAGCCGACCUGAGAGGGUGAUCGGCCACAUUGGGACUGAGACAUGGCCCAAACUCCUACGGGAGGCAGCAGUAGGGAAUCUUCCGCAAUGGGCGAAAGCCUGACGGAGCAAUGCCGCGUGAGUGAAGAAGGCCUUCGGGUCGUAAAACUCUGUUAUAAGAGAAGAACAAAUUGUAGAGUAACUGCUACAGUCUUGACGGUAUCUUAUCAGAAAGCCACGGCUAACUACGUGCCAGCCGCCGCGGUAA